GCGACUUUUGGUCUGUAAUGACAUUGAGGCGCGAAAGCGUGGGAGCGAACAGGAUUAGAUACCUGGUAGUCCACGCCGUAAACGAUGAGUGCUAAGUGUUAGGGGGUUUCCGCCCCUUAGUGCUGCAGCUAACGCAUUAAGCACUCCGCCUGGGGAGUACGGCCGCAAGGCUGAAACUCAAAGGAAUUGACGGGGGCCCGCACAAGCGGUGGAGCAUGUGGUUUAAUUCGAAGCAACGCGAAGAACCUUACCAGGUCUUGACAUCUUCUGACAAUCCUAGAGAUAGGACGUUCCCCUUCGGGGAACAGAGUGACAGGUGGUGCAUGGUGGUCGUCAGCUCGUGUCGUGAGAUGUUGGGUUAAGUCCCGCAACGAGCGCAACCCUUGAUCUUAGUUGCCAGCAUUCAGUUGGGCACUUUAAGGUGACUGCCGGUGACAAACCGGAGGAAGGUGGGGAUGACGUCAAAUCAUCAUGCCCCUUAUGACCUGGGCUACACACGUGCUACAAUGGAUGGUACAAAGGGCUGCAAGACCGCGAGGUUUAGCCAAUCCCAUAAAACCAUUCUCAGUUCGGAUUGCAGGCUGCAACUCGCCUGCAUGAAGCCGGAAUCGCUAGUAAUCGCGGAUCAGCAUGCCGCGGUGAAUACGUUC
RNAcentral lists this ribosomal RNA (650 nucleotides) under Bacillus pichinotyi. RNAcentral's name for it is "bacterial SSU rRNA". It matches the Rfam family "Bacterial small subunit ribosomal RNA", at positions 721 to 1373 of the family's 1533-position model. Lineage: Bacteria; Bacillati; Bacillota; Bacilli; Caryophanales; Bacillaceae. The record is from RNAcentral.